RNAcentral lists this long non-coding RNA (263 nucleotides) under Panax ginseng (ginseng). Its description in RNAcentral is "long non-coding RNA (PGIN_LNC011634)". Lineage: Eukaryota; Viridiplantae; Streptophyta; Magnoliopsida; Apiales; Araliaceae. The record is from RNAcentral.
UUUGUACUACAGGCCAAAGAUAUUCAACAACAGGUCAUCUUUGCAUUAUAGGCCAAAGAUAUUCAACAACAGAUCAUCUUUGCACCACAGGCCAAAGAUAUUCAACAACAGAUCAUCUUUGCACUACAGGCCAAACAUAUUAAUCUCUCAAAGAAAUAUAUAAUCAUUUCAGAAUUUAUAUAAACAAUAAUUAUAACCAUGUUGAUCAAUUCACCUUUGCACUUAAGCUAAAGAUAUUCAAUUAUAAAUUCAAUGGUCAUGAU